This 497-nucleotide ribosomal RNA is filed under the name uncultured bacterium. Its description in RNAcentral is "partial 16S ribosomal RNA". It matches the Rfam family "Bacterial small subunit ribosomal RNA", at positions 28 to 507 of the family's 1533-position model. The record is from RNAcentral.
GAUGAACGCCGGCGGCGUGCCUAAUACAUGCAAGUCGAGCGAACAGACGAGGGGCUUGCUCCUCUGACGUUAGCGGCGGACGGGUGAGUAACACGUGGAUAACCUACCUAUAAGACUGGGAUAACUUCGGGAAACCGGAGCUAAUACCGGAUAAUAUAUUGAACCGCAUGGUUCAAUAGUGAAAGACGGUUUUGCUGUCACUUAUAGAUGGAUCCGCGCCGCAUUAGCUAGUUGGUAAGGUAACGGCUUACCAAGGCAACGAUGCGUAGCCGACCUGAGAGGGUGAUCGGCCACACUGGAACUGAGACACGGUCCAGACUCCUACGGGAGGCAGCAGUAGGGAAUCUUCCGCAAUGGGCGAAAGCCUGACGGAGCAACGCCGCGUGAGUGAUGAAGGUCUUCGGAUCGUAAAACUCUGUUAUUAGGGAAGAACAAAUGUGUAAGUAACUAUGCACGUCUUGACGGUACCUAAUCAGAAAGCCACGGCUAACUACGUG